UACGUAGGUGGCGAGCGUUGUCCGGAUUUACUGGGCGUAAAGGGAGCGUAGGCGGACUUUUAAGUGAGAUGUGAAAUACUCGGGCUCAACCUGAGUGCUGCAUUUCAAACUGGAAGUCUAGAGUGCAGGAGAGGAGAGUGGAAUUCCUAGUGUAGCGGUGAAAUGCGUAGAGAUUAGGAAGAACACCAGUGGCGAAGGCGACUCUCUGGACUGUAACUGACGCUGAGGCUCGAAAGAGUGGGGAGCAAACAGG
This 253-nucleotide ribosomal RNA is filed under the name uncultured bacterium. RNAcentral describes it as "partial 16S ribosomal RNA". It matches the Rfam family "Bacterial small subunit ribosomal RNA", at positions 524 to 776 of the family's 1533-position model. The record is from RNAcentral.